This 497-nucleotide ribosomal RNA is filed under the name uncultured bacterium. RNAcentral's name for it is "partial 16S ribosomal RNA". It matches the Rfam family "Bacterial small subunit ribosomal RNA", at positions 28 to 507 of the family's 1533-position model. The record is from RNAcentral.
GACGAACGCUGGCGGCGUGCCUAAUACAUGCCAGUCGAGCGCUCAAGCUUGGUACUUGUACCAACUGGGUGAGCAGCGGACGGGUGAGUAACGCGUGGAUAAUCUGCCUUUGAGCGGGGGACAACAUUGGGAAACGGAUGCUAAUACCGCAUAAAAACUUUAAACACAUGGUUCAAUUGUGAAAGAUGGAUUUGCUGUACUUAAUAGAGGGCUCCCGGCGUAUUAGGUAGUUGGGGAGGUAAAGGGCCACCAAGGGGAUGGAACCUAGCCGGACUGGGAGGGUGGUCGGCCCAAUUGGGACGGGGAACCGGCCCAAACCCCUUCGGGAAGGAGCAGUAGGGAAUCUUCGGGCAGGGGCGGAAGGCUUACCGGGGAACGCCGCGUGAGUGAAGAAGGUUUUCGGGUCGUAAAACUCUGUUUGUAGGGAAGAAACUUGGUGAGAGUGGAAAGCUCAUCAAGUGACGGUAACUACCCAGAAAGCGACGGCUAACUACGUG